AUGAUUUGCAAGACUCUGGUCACAUGCCCACACCUGUGGCUUCUGAAGCAGAGCACCAGCAGUGACAGUCCCACCAGAACCGCAUGGAAUAGAAAACUGUGCAUUUCCCUAAGGAAAGGGAAUGCCAGAGAAGGGCAGAAGGGAAAUCAGGAAGACAAAACGGUAAAUUACCUACCACAAAUCCAAUUCAUUGGUAUUUUUCCACUUACACUUAACCAAGCAACGAUUUCUCCUGGUCCCAUAAUGGAAAAGAGGGUUUAUCUAGAUUCAUAUAUACAAGACUGAAGAGUGAAGAGAGACCCAGAGAAUGUUCUAAAAUCUGCCAGUUAGCAUAAUCACACAGAGAAAUCUCUGCUUCCAGAGGAGGAGCCAAGUUCAAGUCAGAGGUGAGGAAUGCCAACAGGAAAGCUCACUUUCUCCGGGGAUAUUCAGGCCAACACUAGGAAACCACAGCCAAGUCAGGCAGGGCUUGGGGCGGAACUGCUGACACCUCCACCCUAGCCAAUCCAAGGUGCACGCCUGCCUCAUGCAGCCCAGCGUGACUCCCGCCAUUGGCACACUGUGCCCAUCACAGGCUGGAGCUCCUUUCCUCCACCGUCUUCCCAACUCCUGCCAACCAGAACUUAACUACUCCUUUGGAUUCUGCUUUUCACUUGUUCUUCAUCAGACUAUGGAAGCUUAGACUUCAUAAUUUGGCUGAGACUUCAAAAAUAGUUUUAAAGAAAGCUAUUCCCACCCUGCUAAAAAUUCCAGUCUUUCUUCAAAUGUCAACUCAAAAACAACCCUCCUCAUGGAGACUCCUGUGGCCACCUCAGUGGGAAACAUUCGACAUCAUUGGUAUUAGAAUCACCGAUGUUGGAAACAAGCUCACUUAAGUAGCUUCCAAGUAUGAGAUUUCUCUACUUGCCUCUUUAAUAUUCUGCCAUCACUUUUAGAGAGUUAUCUCACCUAACUCCAGCCGGAAAUACUAAUACAUGCCCUGGGUCUAAAGAAAAUAUUGCCUUUGGAAUUUGUGUAAGAAUUUACGAUUGAGACCUCUGAAUAUGCCAUGAAAAAUAUGAGCCUUACUCUCAUGAGCUGAGGGAAGUGAAUGUAUUUGAAUCUAUGAAUCUCAAAACAACAUGUAAAAUGUGUAAGGAUCUGAUGCUACAAGGGUUAUUAGUUUGAAAUUUGGUGAUUUUGCUGCCAGAUGUCCAUAAACUACACUACCCACUGACAAAUACAUUUAUUAGAAGUUUUUCUUACAAAAAGACAUGAACUAUUUUAUCAGGGAAUCUAAUAUACAAAUAGUUCCUAGAAAUUGUAAGUCUUGUCAUACAGCACACUAGUGGUUACAGCCUAUGAAAUAUAUAAACAACUUCUAA
This 1364-nucleotide long non-coding RNA is filed under the name Homo sapiens (human). Its description in RNAcentral is "long intergenic non-protein coding RNA 2290". Lineage: Eukaryota; Metazoa; Chordata; Mammalia; Primates; Hominidae. The record is from RNAcentral.